CAUUUUUUAUGAUCCCCGACUUUGCGUAUUAGCUCUAAGUUCUUUUGGUCCGUUUUUAUGAUCCCCGACUUUGCGAAUUAGCUCUAAGUUCUUUCGGUCCGUUUUUAUGAUCCCCAUCAUUGCGUAUUCGCUCUAAGUUCUUUCGGUCCGUUUUUAUGAUCCCUGACUUUGCGUAUUAGCUCUAAGUUCUUUCGGUCUGUUUUCAUGAUCCCCGACUUUGCGUAUUAGCUCUAAAUUCUUUCGGUCCGUUUUUCUGAUCCCCGACUUUGCGUAUUAGCUCUAAGUUCUUUCGGGCCGUUUUUACGAUCCCCGACUUUGCGUAUUAGCUCUAAGUUCUUUCGGUCUGUUUUCAUGAUCCCCGACUUUGCGUAUUAGCUCUAAGUUCUUUCGGUCCGUUUUUAUGAUCCACGACUUUACGUAUUAGCUGUAAGUUCUUUCGUUCCGUUUUUAUGAUCCCCGACUUUGCGUAUUAGCU
This 475-nucleotide long non-coding RNA is filed under the name Capsella rubella. RNAcentral describes it as "long non-coding RNA (CRUB_LNC000153)". Lineage: Eukaryota; Viridiplantae; Streptophyta; Magnoliopsida; Brassicales; Brassicaceae. The record is from RNAcentral.